RNAcentral lists this ribosomal RNA (253 nucleotides) under uncultured bacterium. RNAcentral describes it as "partial 16S ribosomal RNA". It matches the Rfam family "Bacterial small subunit ribosomal RNA", at positions 524 to 776 of the family's 1533-position model. The record is from RNAcentral.
UACGUAGGGGGCAAGCGUUGUCCGGAAUCAUUGGGCGUAAAGAGCGUGUAGGCGGUCCGGUAAGUCGGCUGUGAAAGUCCAGGGCUCAACCCUGGGAUGCCGGUCGAUACUGCCGGACUAGAGUUCGGAAGAGGCGAGUGGAAUUCCCGGUGUAGCGGUGAAAUGCGCAGAUAUCGGGAGGAACACCGAUGGCGAAGGCAGGUCUCUGGGCCACUACUGACGCUGAGAAGCGAAAGCAUGGGGAGCGAACAGG